RNAcentral lists this long non-coding RNA (319 nucleotides) under Elaeis guineensis (African oil palm). RNAcentral describes it as "long non-coding RNA (EGUI_LNC049016)". The record is from RNAcentral. Lineage: Eukaryota; Viridiplantae; Streptophyta; Magnoliopsida; Arecales; Arecaceae.
AUCAUAACUAGCUCAUUUUAUGAACCUAAUAAUUUAAAAAUUUUAGUUAUCAAAAUUUAAUAGAAUUAAAUGCACAGACUAGCUAAUCUUAAUCCUCCCACUGACUUCAUCAAUCACAUUAGAGUGGACUAAAAAUAAAUCGGUCCUACUGACAAGUCAUCAAUCCUCCCACUGACUUCAUCAAGUCAUGUCGAGGAUAAAGACAAGUCAAACUAGGAACACCUAAAUUAGUCAAACUGAUUUCUUAGUAAGCAUGGGUCAACCCUAAUCAUUAAGCAAUCUGAUCAAAAUUUGAUUCACCAUGUUAGCCAGGUAAGUG